CACGUAGGAGGCGAGCGUUGUCCGGAAUCAUUGGGCGUAAAGAGCGCGCAGGCGGCUUGGCAAGUCGGGUGUGAAAACCCGGGGCUCAACCCCGGGCCUGCAGUCGAUACGGGCAGACUAGAGUGCGGUAGGGGAGACUGGAAUUCCUGGUGUAGCGGUGAAAUGCGCAGAUAUCAGGAGGAACACCGGUGGCGAAGGCGGGUCUCUGGGCCGUAACUGACGCUGAGGAGCGAAAGCGUGGGGAGCGAACAGG
Molecule: ribosomal RNA, 253 nt
Filed under: uncultured bacterium
Lineage: Bacteria
Description: partial 16S ribosomal RNA
Rfam family: Bacterial small subunit ribosomal RNA
Source: RNAcentral